UCGCAAUCCGCCAACCGGUCGAGCCGUGUCGCGGAAGGUUUCUCAACCAGCCAAUGCCCUGGAAGCCGGGGUUAGAGGUGAGCG
Molecule: non-coding RNA, 84 nt
Filed under: uncultured Roseateles sp.
Lineage: Bacteria; Pseudomonadati; Pseudomonadota; Betaproteobacteria; Burkholderiales; Sphaerotilaceae
Description: SucA RNA motif
Rfam family: SucA RNA motif
Source: RNAcentral